RNAcentral lists this non-coding RNA (95 nucleotides) under human gut metagenome. RNAcentral describes it as "SAM riboswitch (S box leader)". It matches the Rfam family "SAM riboswitch aptamer (S box leader)". Rfam says of the family: The SAM riboswitch is found upstream of a number of genes which code for proteins involved in methionine or cysteine biosynthesis in Gram-positive bacteria. The SAM riboswitch acts at the level of transcription termination control. RNAcentral also lists the same sequence under 1 other name. The record is from RNAcentral.
CUUAUCAAGAGCGGUGGAGGGAACGGCCCUGUGAAACCCGGCAACCUGUCGAAAGGCAAGGUGCUAAAUCCGGCGGUGAUGAUCGAAAGAUGAGG